CCUGGGUUUAUAGAGAUUUAACAUAUAUGGGAAAGAUCACUGUCAUUAAAUCACUAGCUCUUCCUAUUCUAAUUCAAUCAUUGACAGUUUUGCCAAAUCCUCCGGAUGAUAAAAUAAAAGAAAUUCAAAAUAUUUUUUUUAGUUUCUUGUGGUCAGGAAAACCAGACAAGAUUAAAAGAAAAGUUAUGAUAGGGUUAUUUGAAAAUGGGGGGUUGAAAAUGCCAGAUAUAAGAUCUUUUUGUUAUUCAUUAAAGAUGACAUGGAUAAAUAAACUUUUAGACCCCUUGAAUAUAUCCCCAUGGAAAACAUUGUUAAUAGAUCAAUACAACAGAUUAGGAGCA
This 341-nucleotide long non-coding RNA is filed under the name Mytilus galloprovincialis (Mediterranean mussel). Lineage: Eukaryota; Metazoa; Mollusca; Bivalvia; Mytilida; Mytilidae. The record is from RNAcentral.